GUUAAGUUAGUUUAAUACUAAAACAUCAGCUUGUGGAUUUGAAAAAAGGAAUAUAUUCCUACUUAACC
This 68-nucleotide transfer RNA is filed under the name Conus calhetae. RNAcentral describes it as "tRNA-His". It matches the Rfam family "tRNA". From Rfam's summary of the family: Transfer RNA (tRNA) molecules are approximately 80 nucleotides in length. Their secondary structure includes four short double-helical elements and three loops (D, anti-codon, and T loops). Lineage: Eukaryota; Metazoa; Mollusca; Gastropoda; Neogastropoda; Conidae. The record is from RNAcentral.